Molecule: long non-coding RNA, 730 nt
Organism: Anastrepha ludens (Mexican fruit fly)
Lineage: Eukaryota; Metazoa; Arthropoda; Insecta; Diptera; Tephritidae
Exons: 3
Source: RefSeq, a predicted model, not a curated record
CAAAACUAAAUAAAAAUUAUUUGUGUUCAAAAAAGUUUCAACAUAAACGAAAGCAACAUAAAUAAAAAAACGUAAGUGUAUUAAUUAUUCCAGGCAAUUGAAAGCACUGCAUGGAAGCCUUCAAGACACUAGAAAAGCAGAGAGUGAUUGAUGAAAUGUUCGUUGAUUUUAUAAUUUACGUAUACAUACAUACACACAUACGCUAUUUAUUCUACAUCUUAUCUAUAUCUAUGCUGCGAAGAAAUUUUACAGCCAAUAGUUCAAUGCAACUUACGCUCGCCAAUUAAAACUAUUUUUUAUCCAUUGAGGAAUGUCACUGGAAUACCAUAUAAAAAGGACUCCGUGCGUAUGUGAAGGACUUUUUGGAUUCGUAAUAACCGGCCUUGGAAUGUUCUGCCUCCUUUCAUUAAGUUUUGCGACAGUUUUAACAAUGAGAUUCUUCAUCCAUUGGCUUCAAUUGCUUUUCAGAAGCAUAUUCGAAUUUCUCAAUUUGGACGAAUUACUACUAGUGAAAUUGAAAGUAAAAUAGAAAUACAAAAUGAUACACCGUUUUACAUUUGUUCGCUCAUGAACAAGGCCUACAUAUGCGAGUAUAUUCUGAAAAUAGUGCUAACAAAAUAUAACCUUGUCUGGCCGUUCUCCCAGAACAUUUCGUUUACGUUUUAUAGACGAAAAAUUGUUCUUAAUUUAUGUUACUCAUACACCUUUGAUUUCAAUAAAAAAUGCCGAA